This 392-nucleotide ribosomal RNA is filed under the name uncultured bacterium. Its description in RNAcentral is "partial 16S ribosomal RNA". It matches the Rfam family "Bacterial small subunit ribosomal RNA", at positions 523 to 918 of the family's 1533-position model. The record is from RNAcentral.
AUACGGAGGAUCCGAGCGUUAUCCGGAUUUAUUGGGUUUAAAGGGUGCGCAGGCGGCCAUUUAAGUCAGCGGUUAAAUCGUGGGGCUCAACCCCAUUCUGCCGUUGAUACUGGGUGGCUUGAUUGCGGUCGAGGUUGGCGGAAUUCGUUGUGUAGCGGUGAAAUGCAUAGAUAUGACGAAGAACACCGAUUGCGUAGGCAGCUGACCAGAUCGCAAAUGACGCUCAUGCACGAAAGUGCGGGGAUCGAACAGGAUUAGAUACCCUGGUAGUCCACACAGUAAACGAUGAAUACUCGCUGUUUGCGAUAUACAGUAAGCGGCCAAGCGAAAGCAUUAAGUAUUCCACCUGGGGAGUACGCCGGCAACGGUGAAACUCAAAUGAAUUGGCGGGG